This is an RNA transcript of Calidris pugnax (ruff), 3221 nucleotides long. It is a transcript of the gene named family with sequence similarity 118 member B, with no coding region annotated. The record is from RefSeq and is a predicted model, not a curated record. The transcript has 7 exons. Lineage: Eukaryota; Metazoa; Chordata; Aves; Charadriiformes; Scolopacidae.
GGUGAGCCCGAGAGGCGGCUGGGGGUGCUGAGGCCCAGCCUCCCCUCAGCGGCGCCGCUCUGUGAGGCCGCUUCUUUCUUAAAAAGCCGUUUUCUCGGGCGUUUUUACCCCCUCGGCCUCCCAGCUGCCUUUUGAAAUAUCACGUUCUUGCUUUUCCUUCAGGUUUAGCGUGAGAGGGGGGCGAGUAGGGGGAGCAGCGGGAAGGAGAGGUAAGGCCUGGAGGCCCCAGGCAUCCCUGAAGGUGUCACCCCCGCACCACAUCCCCAGUAGCAUGUCCGGCCCGCUUUGCUUUCCAAAAAGCUCUUGGAAAGUCAGCCCUGCUCCUGCCUGUGGGCCGUCCCGCAGCCUCCUCUGCUGGGGUUUAAUUUGGGCGGACUGAAGGCAGCCUGGUGGCUGUCAGGCGAGGCAGACUCCCGAGGGAGUUUGUGGGGAUGCAGAACUCUCCCUUCCUCAGCCUUCCCUGUGUCGCUCCCUCCCGCUAUUCACAAAGCCGGGAGGAGCCUGCAGCGCGUGGAGAAUCGCAGUGUUGAAUAAAAACCUCUGAUUUAUUUUAACUCGCAUCCGAGGAGGCUAAAUCUUGUGUUGGUAACGCCGGCGCGAGGCUCGUUUUCCUUGCGCCACCCCGUUAUCACUGAAGUCUGUCCCUUUCCAGGGCGGUUUUGCGACGCCGGUGCAGGCCUGCUCCAAUUGCGGCUCCCACGUGGAGGGACAGAGCUUGGGAAUUAGCCAGGGACGACUCAUUAACCUCCUUUUGGAUUCUUCUAGCAGAUACAUAGUGGGUUUUAAACCGAAAUGUAAUGUUUGUCUUAUCCCGACAUCUUAAAGAAGCUUCAUUUAAAAAGGAGAUCUGAAUUUUGCCCCCACUGGUGGUCGUUCUUCUCAGCACUCAAAGAAGCUAAAAAUUAUCAAUGGGCAAUUGAUUUGUACUUGCUUCUUUAUUUAAUUUGAGGGGGCUGUUCCAGAGGAGCCCCUCUCCCAGCAUUGAGCUGGACGUGUGCAAUUUUUACUUUCUUUAAACCUUAAACGUUCAGGUGUAGCUUUACUUAGCUUCUGAGCAUGGAGGCAGUCAAAGGGCGUCCACAGUGACAUCCCCAUCUCCUUUGGUAGAGAAAACAUCGAAAUUUCCUGGGUUGGCUCUGCAGAGGCUGAGGUCUGACGUUGACUGAGCAGUGUAGUCGUGUUUUGUAGAGCUAUGGCAAGGUUUUUGUAACUAUAUACUCUCUGUGAGCCUCAGCAUUAAUCUGGCAUCUGCUUUGUGUAGGCGUUUGGUUUUAGCUGGGAUACAUCUUUGUAGUUCGGGCGUUUGUGCAGCUGGAUGUGCCUUCUUUAUGUUGCAUAUGGAGUUGCUGUGGUUAGGUUUAUUCAGCGUUGGCAGGUUGGGCAUCGUUUAAAGAUAAUGAUUCCUUGCUGAAAUCUGUACCUCAAGGGCUUUAGGAUAAAUUAAGUGAUUUCUUAUGGGAAGCAGAACGCUGCAGGGACUCUAGAGGCUUAGUGCAGCUAAUGAAGGUGAUGAGAGACCAUGCUGUGACAGGAGAAUGGGGCAGCCGAGCCAAGAACCCGCGGAGCUUGAUGUUUAUGCUCUCUCAGGCUCCCUGCAGUCUGAAUAGCUGGAAAGUUCCUGACAUCUCGAAGAGGCAGACUGCAGCGACGCUUCUUAUCUUAAACUGGAUGGCUUCUACGCUCAGCCUGGGUAAAGAAACAUUGUUGGAAGAUGGAAUGCCACCUGCAAAAAAGCCCAGGAAGCUCUUGCCAAGCCUCAAAACCAAGAAGCCUCGGGAACUGGUUUUGGUGAUUGGGACAGGAAUCAGUGCAGCAGUUGCUCCCCAGGUCCCGGCGCUGAAGUCUUGGAAAGGGUUAAUCCAGGCCCUAUUGGAUGCUGCUAUUGACUUUGAUCUCCUGGAAGAUGAAGAGAGCAAACGGUUUCAAAAGUGUCUCCACGAAGACAAGAACUUGGUUCAUGUUGCCCACGACCUCAUCCAGAAGCUGUCUCCGCGCACAAGCAACGUUCGCUCAACCUUUUUCAAAGACUGUUUAUACGAGGUGUUUGAUGACCUGGAAUCUAAAAUGGAAGAUUCUGGGAAGCAGCUGCUUCAGUCUGUGCUUCACUUGAUGGAAAACGGGGCACUGGUGUUAACCACAAACUUCGAUAACCUGCUGGAACUGUACGCAGCACACCAGGGGAAGCACCUGGAGUCUCUUGACCUGACUGAUGAAAAGAAGGUGCUGGAGUGGGCACAGGAGAAGAGGAAGCUGAGCGUCCUGCACAUCCACGGCGUGUACACCAACCCCAGCGGCAUCGUGCUCCACCCGGCCGGCUACCAGAACGUGCUGCGCAACACGGAGGUCAUGCGGGAGAUUCAGAAGCUGUAUGAAAAUAAGUCAUUCCUGUUCUUGGGCUGUGGUUGGACUGUUGAUGACACCACGUUUCAGGCCCUGUUUUUAGAGGCUGUGAAGCACAAGUCAGACCUGGAGCACUUCAUGCUCGUACGGAGGGGAGACGUGGAUGAAUUUAAGAAGCUCCGCGAGAACAUGCUGGACAAAGGGAUUAAAGUGAUUUCCUACGGAGAUGAAUACGCUGACCUGCCCGAGUACUUCGAGAGGCUGACGAGCGAGAUCGCCACGCGGGGUCGAGCAGGUACGGGGGUUGUGGGCUGUGCAGGGAUCCUGUCACACACAACACGGUUCCUGACUGUCACCCUGGCCUUUGGAGUGUGGGCAGCAUUAACAGCCCCUGUUCUCUAUGCUGUGUUAUUCCUUAAGCUUUUCUUUUUUGUUGCCCCAGAAAAAUUGUCUGCAAGCGUAGCUGAAUUUGGGGUUUACUUUUACGAAACCACUGUCUGUUCUUAUAGUUUAAACAGCUUUGCUGCUUCCCACACGCUAUCUGGCAGCUGCAGUUGGUUGUUCCCUUUCAAAUGAAAGGGUACUCCAGUCUCGCUGAUUUUCAUGCUGUAACACACAAGAGAACUUGCUAAUAAAUCAUACAAAUGGGGAAAAGAAGCGAGUUGGGUCGCCGGAGCCUCGCUGGGAUGCGUUUGGAGGGUAAAAUCCAGCCUGGAAAACCUGUCCCUGCAGGGCUGCCCUUCCAGCCGCUCCUUGCUCUCUCCCAGGUGUGCCCAAGGAGGGACAACAGCUCAAUGGCUCCGCUGCCAACAUGAAAGGAUGCAGCAGCUGAGUCCCAGCCCGGCCCCAGGACGGACUGAAGCCAGAGCCCAGCAGCUCCC